Molecule: ribosomal RNA, 262 nt
Filed under: uncultured prokaryote
Description: partial 16S ribosomal RNA
Rfam family: Bacterial small subunit ribosomal RNA
Source: RNAcentral
GACGGAGGAGGCAAGCAUUGUCCGGAAUUAUUGGGCGUAAAGAACACGUAGGCGGUUUGUCAAGUCAUAUGUGAAAACCUUGGGCUUAACUUAAGGAUUGCAUAUGAUACUGGCAAACUAGAGUAUAGUAGAGGAAAGCGGAAUUCCUCGUGUAGCGGUGAAAUGCGCAGAUAUCAGGAAGAACACCAGUGGCGAAAGCGGCUUUCUGGACUGUUACUGACGCUGAGGUGUGAAAGCUAGGGGAGGCGAACAGGAUUAGAUA